AAGAUUGGAACAUAGUGAUGAUCUUGCCUGAUGCUACUCUGCAGUUUCCAAGCUAUGACCUAUUUUUCUUCCCCAGUGCUUCUGUCACACCGCGACUCUUCCCCCCGCUUGCCUAACCCCCCGCCCUUCCAUUGAAAAUGUAAGAAGUGACUGUGAUGCUGUAUGAUUGAAACAUGACCAGUUUGUCCUGAAUCUGGUAUUCUCAGCUGUGACCCACUGAGGCAUGGUGACCGUGACGGAUGAUCACUUCUACCCCACAAGUGAACUCUGGUUAAAAUAGUAAAAACAAAACCUCAACAACAACAAAACAACAACCCAAAAACCACAGCCUCCAAACUUCAACAAAAUAUGAGUCAUUCCGGAAGUCAAAGAGUUGGGACUCUGCAAAUGUGGAUGACAAAACAAAAGUAAUUAUAUAA
Molecule: non-coding RNA, 419 nt
Organism: Chrysemys picta bellii (western painted turtle)
Lineage: Eukaryota; Metazoa; Chordata; Testudines; Emydidae
Source: RefSeq, a predicted model, not a curated record